This 725-nucleotide ribosomal RNA is filed under the name Paramycovellosiella passaloroides. RNAcentral describes it as "eukaryotic LSU rRNA". It matches the Rfam family "Eukaryotic large subunit ribosomal RNA", at positions 111 to 867 of the family's 3401-position model. The record is from RNAcentral. Lineage: Eukaryota; Fungi; Ascomycota; Dothideomycetes; Mycosphaerellales; Mycosphaerellaceae.
AAAUUUGAAAUCUGGCGUUUGCCCGAGUUGUAAUUUGUAGAGGAUGCUUCUGGCCAGCGGCCGUUCUAAGUUCCUUGGAACAGGACGUCAUAGAGGGUGAGAAUCCCGUAUGUGACCGGCGCGCAGCCUUUACGUAGCUCCUUCGACGAGUCGAGUUGUUUGGGAAUGCAGCUCUAAAUGGGAGGUAAAUUUCUUCUAAAGCUAAAUACCGGCCAGAGACCGAUAGCGCACAAGUAGAGUGAUCGAAAGAUGAAAAGCACUUUGGAAAGAGAGUUAAAAAGCACGUGAAAUUGUUGAAAGGGAAGCGCUUGCAACCAGACUUCGUAGCGAUGUUCCGCUGGUCUUCUGACCGGUCUACUCAUCGUCGCGAGGCCAACAUCGUCUGGGCCCGCUGGAUAAGACCUAAGGAAUGUAGCUUCCCUCGGGAAGUGUUAUAGCCUGUGGUGAUGCAGCGCGGCUCGGGCGAGGUCCGCGCUUCGGCAAGGAUGUUGGCGUAAUGGUUGUCAGCGGCCCGUCUUGAAACACGGACCAAGGAGUCUAACAUCUAUGCGAGUGUUCGGGUGUCAAACCCCUACGCGUAAUGAAAGUGAACGGAGGUGGGAAGCGCAAGCUGCACCAUCGACCGAUCCUGAUGUCCUCGGAUGGAUUUGAGUAAGAGCAUAGCUGUUGGGACCCGAAAGAUGGUGAACUAUGCCUGAAUAGGGUGAAGCCAGAGGAAACUCUGG